RNAcentral lists this ribosomal RNA (274 nucleotides) under uncultured bacterium. RNAcentral describes it as "partial 16S ribosomal RNA". It matches the Rfam family "Bacterial small subunit ribosomal RNA", at positions 523 to 796 of the family's 1533-position model. The record is from RNAcentral.
AUACGAACCGGACAAACGUUAUUCGGAAUUAUUGGGCUUAAAGGGUGCGUAGGCGGCGCGGUAAGUGAGGUGUGAAAGCCCACGGCUCAACCGUGGAAUUGCGCUUCAUACUGCCGUGCUAGAGGGAGACAGAGGUAAGCGGAACUGAUGGUGGAGCGGUGAAAUGCGUUGAUAUUAUCAGGAACACCGGUGGCGAAAGCGGCUUACUGGGUCUCUUCUGACGCUGAGGCACGAAAGCCAGGGUAGCGAACGGGAUUAGAUACCCCGGUAGUCC